Molecule: non-coding RNA, 4083 nt
Organism: Paramuricea clavata
Lineage: Eukaryota; Metazoa; Cnidaria; Anthozoa; Malacalcyonacea; Plexauridae
Source: the annotation of a GenBank genome assembly
AACAAUUUAUCGAGCACUGAUACAGCCCUAUUUUGAUUACUAUUCUCCCUUAUGGGGCGUCUGUGUUAAACAUCUGAAAGAUAAACUCCAAAAGUCGUGUAGCCCGAAUUAUAGCUGGCGCCAGCUACGAGACCCAAUCUGCUGAUGUUCUUCGAUCUCUUGCUUGGGAUAAUUUAGAGACAAGGCGAUGUACAACUAAAUCAAUACUAUUUUUUCUGUGUUGGUGUUGUGUACUCAGGUGAAUAUGUUUGUGAUGUUACUCUGAGUGUAUAUCGGGCGAGCUCGAAAAAUAUGCCCGGCCACGGUGGGAAUCGAACAUACGACCUUUGUAAUACUAGCCCAAUGCUUUGGCAACUGAGCUACGCGGUUAGGCCAGUUCGAGUGAUAUUUCGGAACAGAAUCUAGUUCCUUCGAUACCAAUGUAAUCUAGUAAUAUGAUUUUUUCUGUGUUGGUGUUGUGUACUCAGGUGAAUAUGUUUGUGAUGUUACUCUGAGUGUAUAUCCACACCGGGCGAGCUCGAAAAAUAUGCCCGGCCACGGUGGGAAUCGAACAUACGACCUUUGGAAUACUAUUGCACAAAGUCUUCACUGAUUUUAAUUAGCCCUUGGAAGCCUAGAAGUGAAUUCCUCAAAAAGAGCUUCAAGUAUAGUAGGGCUAAACUCGACAAUGCCACGUGUCGACAAUGCCACGACAAGAGGCGUCUAUCUACCCGUGAAACAUCUAGUGAGUAUUGGUGACAGUUCAUCUGAUGACGGGACGAAUACCCUUCAGUUUCACAAGUGCCAUCAACAGACAACACUACCGACUCGACGGGGCGUUUGCUGGCUGAAUGGUAUAAUCACCGCUUCACAAUAAUAGCAAGCCGGAUGUGCUGGUGCGUAAUGCAUAAGGCUAUGUUGUCCGUCUCCAUUGGCCUGUGUAUUACCACCCAGAUUAUCCGGCUGUAGCUCUGCUUUCGAUGCGUUGUUGUCGACCUGCAUUUUAUUGUUCUGCAUCUGGUAAAUCGUUCAAUUCCCAUACCCUCAACCAGAGAGUCGCAACCUUACCAAAUGACUUACCAAAUGCCACAACCUUACCAAAUUCCGAUACCUUGGGAUUACAACUAUCAUGCAUGUGUUCCCAACUUGUAUAGAUCCCGCGUGUAUGGCAAAUUGGUCACAUAUUUAGGGAUUGUUAUGUAUUUUACACUUUCCAUACUUUCCAUACUUACUUAUUUCCAUACACAUGUCCAUACUUAAUAAAUUAAGUUUCAAAAUUUAACACAACUAUUUUUACAACUUAGGCUAUACUGACCUCAUGUUUCGCGCACGAAUAUAUUUCUCUUUGAUCUUAACCCAAAUCACAACCAUAUCCCUUACCUAUUGUGCGCGAAACAUGUUAUAACACGAAAUCCUACCAGAGACUAUCGGGAUGUUUACACGAGUUCUACAUAAAGGGCCAGCCCAACCAGGACUGGUUUUCACCUGGUGCUUACAUGAGAAAAUUCAACAAAUUUAUUUUCUUACGAAGUCCAUAAUCAUUUUAGCGAGCAAAUUUUCGAAUAAUAACCAACAAUUGAAUAUUGUUCUAGAGCUAUAAAUCUGAAUCGAAAUAGACUUAGAGAAGCCAAGUUUGGCACGUAUAUGGCCAGCUUUUUACUCAGCCCCCACUGGUAUAGGACAAGCCCUCUCUGACUCUGUUGCGUUUAUAUGGUAAAUUUCCUCAGGCAAGAUCUCAAGCUGGCCCUCCCCUUAGUAUAUGCGGAAUAUCGCGUAUAAGUGCCAGCGCUUUGUGUAGGAUUCAUAUAAACACCCUCUAGGAAUAAUAACUUUAUCGUAUCAUUAAUUCAGCAUGGAGAAAAGCCAGGUACACACUUGAUUGAAUUAUUAAAGCGAUCUGUAUGUGAUUUACAAACAUGAGCCGAAGGCGAGUGGUUGUUAAUCGCAUGUAGAUCGGACGUGAAUGCCCUAGCUAUCGUACUUAUCAAAUACAUACAUAUAAGGUUCAUGUUUAUUGUUGCCAUUGUUAAUGUUCUUGAUACAAAUAAUGCAAUAUUGCACUUGUAUAUAAUUUAAACUCAACACUUUAGGAGCCCAAAAUCCGUGUUACUUGGCAUGUAGAACUUGUUAUAUCCUAAAUUAUAGAGUAUUUUUUGAAAAGUCACCCUAUAUCGUUGUAAAUAGGUUGAUGACGAAAGCACGAAAUUCACUCAGAUAGACUAUUAGGCUCCAGACUAUACAGCUGUUCGUUCUGCAUGCAUAACGCAUCUUUAAAAAUUUAUUUUUGGACCAAUAAAAAUGGCCGAUUAUUUUCUAGGACCAACAAAAGCUACAGAAAUUUAUUUUCUGUAAACUAUGCACUUUGCGAUCAACAAACACCAAUUUAUACUUUAGGAUCGUGGAGCUGGCAGAUUACUAGUCUUCUUGAUUUCGGAAUCCUCUUCCUUUUUACUGGUUAUUAUUUCAGGUACCGUUGUACCUUUAGUCAACUUAAUCUCGCACACACCAGUCUGAAUAUCAUAUGUUAGGUCAACAAGAAAAUCGUCUUCCUCCUCGAACUUCUGUACCAUUUCCUCCGUUACAUCAAUAAAACGCCUGAAAAAUAUGAAUGUAAUUUAGAUAUAGAUAUAGAUCAGAAAACCUAGAAUUUCGCGCAGGAGAAAAGACCACUCAACCACAAAACCUAGAAUUUCGCGCAGGAGAAAAGACCAGGCACUCAACCACAAAACCUAGAAUUUCGCGCAGGAGAAAAGACCAGGCACUCAACCACAAAACCUAGAAUUUCGCGCAGGAGAAAAGACCACUCAACAACCACAUUACAUAAAACAAAUAAAAAUCCCAAAGAAAUGGACAUAAAAUUCAAAAUACAAGUCAAAUCAGAGCAGUCCAGAAAAUUGGCUAUUGAAAAUUAUAAUAUAAGGUUUCUAGUGUUCACCAUAGCAAACAUUAGAGAAUCACACUUAUAUUGUCGAGGUGGACAACCUUAAAACAUUGGCAAUAGGCUUCCCUCAUAUGAAUAGUCUGCCAAUUUGACAUCUUAUGUUCAAUGAAAUGACCUCUAUUACAAUUUCAUAGAAACUGGUACUCAAAACCACAGUUAUAAGGGCCAAAUUAUAAUGAACAUAAAAGAAUGGCCUGAUUUAUACUAGAGACGGACGAUCUGUCUGGAUGAACUUGAGCAAAUAAAGACAGUUUGAGUACAAACGCGGCAAACAGACAGAUCAUCCGUCAAACGGAUAAUGCGUCUCUAGUAUAAAUCAGGCCAAUAUCGAAUAACGGUAGUUUUAUAUGAAGAAAGUCUAUUAAAUACUCCAUUUAGCGCAAAAUUGCAAUCGCACAAAUUAACAGUGCAAUAAUUAACAAUUAUUCGCCGAAGGCGAGGUGAUCAUCGUGAAUAAAAACCGAGACGAAGUCGAGGUUUUUAUUCACGAUAAUCACCGAGCCUGAGGUGAAUAAUUGUUUUAGUAUAAUUUCAUAGGUGAUUAUUUGGAAGAAGAAAAAAUACACAUUUCUUCAUCAUUUAAUUGACAAAACGGCUUCGGUCGCCAUUUCGAAAAUCGCUUAGGUGAUUAUCGCGUUAUAAUCACCUCAACGGCAACCAAUCAGCGUGCAUGGAGAAUUUUCAAUAAUCACCUAUGUAAUUAUACUAAUUAUUCAUAUCCCAAUGUACUGACUACAGUCUUGUUCUAACUUGUAAGUCGAGUUUUAAGUUAUUUUCUUUGCAAUUUCUUUGUUUUAAUGUCGAGUAAAUUAGAUGUAUAAACAAUGUCAGAAGAAUAAGUCACAUCAAAAACGUAAUUUUGUCCAUUGGAGAUUCUUGAACUCAUGGACAUGACAAGUUGAAGUAACACGCUCUUCAAUAUUAAGCAUAUUACACAAAGGGCGGUACGAAGUUGAAAGGCAACAGUGUAAGUGAACAAAUACAACACCGUCAAGCGCUGCGAUGGGGGAGCUGUACAAACCCAGGAUUUCCAUAGCUUAUGCCAAAACAACAAUUAAGGAAUCCUGCAUGUUACAUAAUUAAAGAUUAACUUUUGUACGGCGGGAAAAGCUGCAUGUCUGCAAUUACAGACCAAAAUGAAACCAUCAGCUAUUGAACAUUAA